Molecule: ribosomal RNA, 596 nt
Filed under: Wolbachia endosymbiont of Bemisia tabaci
Lineage: Bacteria; Pseudomonadati; Pseudomonadota; Alphaproteobacteria; Rickettsiales; Anaplasmataceae
Description: bacterial SSU rRNA
Rfam family: Bacterial small subunit ribosomal RNA
Source: RNAcentral
AUUAGAUGAGCCUAUAUUAGAUUAGCUAGUUGGUGGAGUAAUAGCCUACCAAGGCAAUGAUCUAUAGCUGAUCUGAGAGGAUGAUCAGCCACACUGGAACUGAGAUACGGUCCAGACUCCUACGGGAGGCAGCAGUGGGGAAUAUUGGACAAUGGGCGAAAGCCUGAUCCAGCCAUGCCGCAUGAGUGAAGAAGGCCUUUGGGUUGUAAAGCUCUUUUAGUGAGGAAGAUAAUGACGGUACUCACAGAAGAAGUCCUGGCUAACUCCGUGCCAGCAGCCGCGGUAAUACGGAGAGGGCUAGCGUUAUUCGGAAUUAUUGGGCGUAAAGGGCGCGUAGGCUGAUUAAUAAGUUAAAAGUGAAAUCCCGAGGCUUAACCUUGGAAUUGCUUUUAAAACUAUUAAUCUAGAGAUUGAAAGAGGAUAGAGGAAUUCCUGAUGUAGAGGUAAAAUUCGUAAAUAUUAGGAGGAACACCAGUGGCGAAGGCGUCUAUCUGGUUCAAAUCUGACGCUGAAGCGCGAAGGCGUGGGGAGCAAACAGGAUUAGAUACCCUGGUAGUCCACGCUGUAAACGAUGAAUGUUAAAUAUGGGAAGUUUA